Peptoniphilus lacrimalis DNF00528 is the source of this 116-nucleotide non-coding RNA. NCBI's taxonomy places the organism in Bacteria, Bacillati, Bacillota, Tissierellia, Tissierellales, Peptoniphilaceae. The record is from Rfam.
UUAAGUGACGAUAGCCUAGGAGAUACACCUGUACCCAUGCCGAACACAGAAGUUAAGCCCUAGAACGCCGGAAGUAGUUGGGGGUUGCCCCCUGUGAGAUAUGGAAGUCGCUUAGC